This 253-nucleotide ribosomal RNA is filed under the name uncultured bacterium. RNAcentral's name for it is "partial 16S ribosomal RNA". It matches the Rfam family "Bacterial small subunit ribosomal RNA", at positions 524 to 776 of the family's 1533-position model. The record is from RNAcentral.
UACAGAGGGGGCAAGCGUUGUUCGGAAUUACUGGGCGUAAAGGGCGCGUAGGCGGCCUGCUAAGUCGAACGUGAAAUCCCCGGGCUCAACCCGGGAACUGCGUCCGAUACUGGUUGGCUUGAAUCCGGGAGAGGGAUGCGGAAUUCCAGGUGUAGCGGUGAAAUGCGUAGAUAUCUGGAGGAACACCGGUGGCGAAGGCGGCAUCCUGGACCGGCAUUGACGCUGAGGCGCGAAAGCCAGGGGAGCAAACGGG